CUCCGUGCCAGCAGCCGCGGUAAUACGGAGGGUGCGAGCGUUAUCCGGAUUUAUUGGGUUUAAAGGGUCCGUAGGCGGAUUAAUAAGUCAGUGGUGAAAUCCCAUCGCUUAACGAUGGAACUGCCAUUGAUACUGUUAGUCUUGAAUGAGGGUGCAGUGGUUGGAAUGUGUAGUGUAGCGGUGAAAAUGCAUAGAUAUUACACAGAACACCGAUUGCGAAGGCAGAUCACUAACCCUAAAUUGACGCUGAGGGACGAAAGCGUGGGGAGCGAACAGGAUUAGAUACCCUGGUAG
RNAcentral lists this ribosomal RNA (294 nucleotides) under uncultured bacterium. Its description in RNAcentral is "partial 16S ribosomal RNA". It matches the Rfam family "Bacterial small subunit ribosomal RNA", at positions 501 to 793 of the family's 1533-position model. The record is from RNAcentral.